Molecule: ribosomal RNA, 293 nt
Filed under: uncultured Gammaproteobacteria bacterium
Lineage: Bacteria; Pseudomonadati; Pseudomonadota; Gammaproteobacteria
Description: partial 16S ribosomal RNA
Rfam family: Bacterial small subunit ribosomal RNA
Source: RNAcentral
UCGUCAGCUCGUGUCGUGAGAUGUUGGGUUAAGUCCCGCAACGAGCGCGACCCCUGUCCUUAUUUGCCAUCAUUAAGUUGGGAACUCUAAGGAGCCCGCCGGUGACAAACCGGAGGAAGGUGGGGAUGACCUCAAGUCAUCAUGGCCUUUAUGACCAGGGCUACACACGUGCUACAAUGCAAGUNACAGAGGGAAGCCAACCGGCGACGGGGAGCAAAUCCCAGAAAACUUGUCGUAGUCCGGAUUGGAGUCUGCAACUCGACUCCAUGAAGUCGGAAUCGCUAGUAAUCGCA